ACGUAGGUCCCGAGCGUUGUCCGGAUUUAUUGGGCGUAAAGCGAGCGCAGGUGGUUUAAUAAGUCUGAUGUAAAAGGCAGUGGCUCAACCAUUGUGUGCAUUGGAAACUGUUAGACUUGAGUGCAGUAGAGGAGAGUGGAAUUCCAUGUGUAGCGGUGAAAUGCGUAGAUAUAUGGAGGAACACCGGUGGCGAAAGCGGCUCUCUGGACUGUCACUGACACUGAGGCUCGAAAGCGUGGGUAGCAAACAG
This 250-nucleotide ribosomal RNA is filed under the name uncultured bacterium. Its description in RNAcentral is "partial 16S ribosomal RNA". It matches the Rfam family "Bacterial small subunit ribosomal RNA", at positions 525 to 775 of the family's 1533-position model. The record is from RNAcentral. RNAcentral also lists the same sequence under 1 other name.